Molecule: non-coding RNA, 26 nt
Filed under: Homo sapiens (human)
Lineage: Eukaryota; Metazoa; Chordata; Mammalia; Primates; Hominidae
Source: RNAcentral
UCAGAUGCGGAGACAGUUUUGGACGU